CCCCCCCCCCCCCCAUCAAUUUUGAGCAUUCAGCUGGAGACUUUAAUAAAGUGUCACAAUCUAAUUAAAGUCUGGUGACGCUAAAAGUCUUUAAUCUGGACUUUUAAUUUUUAUAAACGUGCUCUAGACUAAACUGGACUAGGGCUGUUUAGGCUCUACAACUGUUGUAUAAACAUGGACAUCAAUUUAGUGCCUGGAAUAAAUAAUCAUGUUCCUUUUCAAUAAAUACCUAGUUUAUGGGUCAAAAAUAAAGUUAGAUUUUAUGAUUUAAAUCUAAAUUAAAGUCAAAUGUGCUUUUUUUCUCUCUCUAGAAAAUGAUGUUAAGAGAUUUAAAAAUAAAGUCAAGUUAAUGCACCUUUGUAUGUUAAGUGUAAUAUACAAUCCCAAUGUCAUCAUUUUAUUUGUCUUUAAGUUUUGUAUUUGACUUUUUUUCUCUAAUGGAGAAAUGGAGUAAACUAUACGAGUAUUUGACUGUUUUUAUUGGUUCUCUACAGUGUACUGUGUAUUGGAUAGUGGAGUACGACAAGAGAUGUCCACAUGAUGUAAAGCACUUGACAAAUAUUAAAGCUCAUGUAAUUUCACUGUGAGCAUACCAAGAGAGAUAAUUCUAUUAAUCUGAUGUCCAUGUUGUUAAAACUAUUUUGUUUUUAUGUUGGUCCUUAGAUUUGCUUUUUCUUCAGACAAUUAAAUGUUUUAUUUAUUUGUAUGACACAUUGUGAACUUGGUUUAUUUCAGUUCAUCAGUAUGUGAGCUUCAUAUGAUCCAGUACUAUAUGUUCAGUUGCUAGUUACUAUUCGCCUAAGCAGUACAUGCUGAGUUAAUGAAAGUGUGAAACCUAGCUAAUCGUUGCUGGGGUUUUUUGUUUGUUUUUAAUGACACCACUAGAGCACAUUGAUUUAUUAAUCAUUGGCUAUUGGAUGUCAAACAUAUUUAAUUUUGACACAGUAAAAUGGCAAAAUAUAGGUAUUACUUUUUCCACAGUAGGGUGAUGCCAACUUUUUGCAUUUAACUCGAUGUUAAAGUUCAGCAUUUGGCUCCAUUUCUCACAAAUUGUAUGUCUUACAUUAAUGAAACUUGGUUUAUAUUUGCACCUAUUGAUGUUCAUCAUAAUGCAUAUCAAAGUAAAAAAUUUAAAAUUUUAAAAUUUUAUAAAGAGUUUAUUUAUUUUUUAAAAAAUGCAUUAAAAUGCACAUCUAGGAUACAGCUGUCGGAGACAUCAGAUAGGUUUAUGGUAGGUGAGACAUGGAUACAGCUGUCGGUGACACCAGAUAGGUUUAUGGUAGGUGAGACAUGAUAGGUUUAUGGUAGGUGAGACAUGGAUACAGCUGUCGGUGACAUCAGAUAGGUUUAUGGUAGGUGAGACAUGGAUACAGCUGUCAGUGACAUCAGAUAGGUUUAUGGUAGGUGAGACAUGAUACAGCUGUCAGUGACAUCAGAUAGGUUUAUGGUAGGUGAGACAUGGAUACAGCUGUCAGUGACAUCAGAUAGGUUUAUGGUAGGUGAGACAUGAUAGGUUUAUGGUAGGUGAGACAUGGAUAUAGCUGUCGGUGACAUCAGAUAGGUUUAUGGUAGGUGAGACAUGAUACAGCUGUCAGUGACAUCAGAUAGGUUUAUGGUAGGUGAGACAUGGAUACAGCUGUCAGUGACAUCAGAUAGGUUUAUGGUAGGUGAGACAUGAUAGGUUUAUGGUAGGUGAGACAUGGAUAUAGCUGUCGGUGACAUCAGAUAGGUUUAUGGUAGGUGAGACAUGAUACAGCUGUCGGUGACACCAGAUAGGUUUAUGGUAGGUGAGACAUGAUACAGCUGUCAGUGACAUCAGAUAGGUUUAUAGUAGGUGAGACAUGGAUACAGCUGUCAGUGACAUCAGAUAGGUAUAUGGUAGGUGAGACAUGAUACAGCUAUCGGUGACACCAGAUAGGUUUAUGGUAGGUGAGACAUGAUACAGCUGUCCGUGACACCAGAUAGGUUUAUGGUAGGUGAGACAUGGAUACAGCUGUCAGUGACAUCAGAUAGGUUUAUGGUAGGUGAGACAUGGAUACAGCUGUCAGUGACAUCAGAUAGGUUUAUGGUAGGUGAGACAUGAUACAGCUGUCAGUGACAUCAGAUAGGUAUAUGGUAGGUGAGACAUGAUACAGCUAUCGGUGACACCAGAUAGGUUUAUGGUAGGUGAGACAUGAUACAGCUGUCGGUGACACCAGAUAGGUUUAUGGUAGGUGAGACAUGGAUACAGCUGUCAGUGACAUCAGAUAGGUUUAUGGUAGGUGAGACAUAGCUGUCGGUGACACCAGAUAGGUUUAUGGUAGGUGAGACAUGAUACAGCUGUCGGUGACACCAGAUAGGUUUAUGGUAGGUGAGACAUGGAUACAGCUGUCGGUGACACCAGAUAGGUUUAUGGUAGGUGAGACAUUUAAUUAUGUGGAUUUCCUUUAUUAAUGUGCUAAUAUUCAUUCUCAUCUGCCUUGUAACAGGUUUCCAGUCAAGAUGACCAAAUGUCUAACAUCUAAUAGCUGAUGAUCAGUCUAUAGAUAUGCUCUAGUGGUGUCGUUAAACAAAACAAACUUUUUCAUUCUCAUUUCCAAAUUCGGUGUAGGGAAGGCUUUAUUUGGGAUGGGGUGAGGUGGAGGAGGGUGCCUGUACUACAGCAGUGGACUUGUUCUGUCACCAUGUUAUGUUGCACUAAUAUAUUGUAAGAAAGAAAUAAAGGAGCACAUUGUAUUGUUGAUUAAUUCUAACUGGCUACUAGCACAGUAAUGUUUAUAAUGAUGUAAUAUAGGGUUUAAUGUCAGUAAUGUGAUAUUAAAUGCCAGUAACACUGUUAACCUCCUGACACUAUAGAAUAGGGUUUGGGUUGCAGUUUCAAUUUGCUGUUACUAUUUAUGUGCUCCUUUAAUUUCUUUCUAUCAGUGUAUGUUACACACUUAAUAGCUGUAGAUUAAAAUGUGUUGGGGUCUCUUAAACCAUUAGAAAUUUCUUUCUUAAUACAUUAACAUAGUGAGUACAUGUAUUUUAUCAUUCCUUUCUUAUAAUACACUUAACAGUCUGUCUCGCAAUGUUCUAACAUGAUAAUAUGUAUUUUCUCUUGUCUCUAGACCCAUGUUCUAUGCAAGUUGAUACUUUUUUAUGUUAAUUUUAUGUACAACUUGGUCGUGUUUUUUUUAAUCAAGGAAUGUAUUAAAUGUGCAUGUGGUUGGAUAACAAGAACAUAUGUACUUCCGGAAACCUUUGAGGAGUUGUGUGCCGAUUCUGAAAACAGAUGUAAUGUAAAUCUAACUUAUAUCGUCUGGGAUUAUGUUUUUGUGCAUGUGACAUUGUUUGAUUUUUAUGAAGAAAAUAAACUAUCUGGAAAUAAAGAUAACAAAUUAA
This 3363-nucleotide long non-coding RNA is filed under the name Gigantopelta aegis. RNAcentral describes it as "uncharacterized LOC121383415". Lineage: Eukaryota; Metazoa; Mollusca; Gastropoda; Neomphalida; Peltospiridae. The record is from RNAcentral.